AUUGAACGCUAGCGGGAUGCCUUACACAUGCAAGUCGAACGGCAGCGCGGACUUCGGUCUGGCGGCGAGUGGCGAACGGGUGAGUAAUGUAUCGGAACGUGCCCAGUAGCGGGGGAUAACUACUCGAAAGAGUAGCUAAUACCGCAUACGCCCUACGGGGGAAAGGGGGGGAUCGCAAGACCUCUCACUAUUGGAGCGGCCGAUAUCGGAUUAGCUAGUUGGUGAGGUAAAGGCUCACCAAGGCGACGAUCCGUAGCUGGUUUGAGAGGACGACCAGCCACACUGGGACUGAGACACGGCCCAGAAUCCUACGGGAGGCAGCAGUGGGGAAUUUUGGACAAUGGGGGAAACCCUGAUCCAGCCAUUCCGCGUGUGCGAUGAAGGCCUUCGGGUUGUAAAGCACUUUUGGCAGGAAAGAAAUCGCAUCAAUUAAUACUUGGUGUGGAUGACGGUACCUGCAGAAUAAGCACCGGCUAACUACGUGUCAGCAGCCGCGGUAA
Molecule: ribosomal RNA, 500 nt
Filed under: uncultured bacterium
Lineage: Bacteria
Description: partial 16S ribosomal RNA
Rfam family: Bacterial small subunit ribosomal RNA
Source: RNAcentral